UAGUUUGCUUUAUACUACACGCUGGCGGUGCUGUUGACCAAUCAUAUCUUAACAGUCUGUGGUUUUGUAUGUCAGUCGAGCAUCCGUAAAGGGCCGCUCAAUGCAUAUGACCGCAUUUGAAAGAUUGCUCCGAACACUCACAAACAUCCCCGGAGGUGAUAGAGCCGAUCUUUUCGCAUCGGGUGCAGUAUCAAUCUACACCGGUUAAAAUGGCGGCGAUGCUGAGAGCGGCUGAAAAUGUGCUUUGGAGUGAUACAUUUUGGUUCGCUAACGGGACAUCAUGGAAAGAUUUGGAAAGCACAGACCCAGAUAUAUAUUACCCAAAGUUCUCCGAUAUGAACAAAUCGUUUUUCGUUGGGUUUCUGCUGCUGGGACUCAGAUAUAUUUACGAGAGAUUUAUUGUUGUUCCAAUUGCUAAAAGCCUCGGCCUUAAAGAGAGAAAUGUCCACCUUGUGCCAAACCAGAAUUUGGAGGCCAUGUAUAGAAGUAUCAAAGGGAAGCAGCUGUCGAAGACAGACAUUGAGAAAGCACAAAAACAAACUGAUAUGACAGAAAAACAAGUACAAAGAUGGUUUUUCAAGCGUAGACUGAAAGAUGUGCCAAGUAACCUCUUCCGAUUCCGGGAUCAGAGCUGGCAGAUGCUCUUCUACUUGAUGUCCUUCCUAUAUGGAAUGUUCGUUUUGUGGGAUAAGCCGUGGCUGUGGGACACAACACAUUGCUGGAAAGGCUGGCCUAAACAGCAUGUCACCAAUGAUCUGUACUACUUUUAUCUGGUGGAGCUGGGCUUCUACUGGUGCCUGCUCUUCACACUUUUCUAUGAUGUCAAGCGCAAGGACUUUUGGGAAAUGGCUACACAUCACUUGAUCACGAUGCUACUGUUGUACUUCUCCUGGAUCACUAACUAUGUCCGUGUGGGGACACUGGUCCUAGUUGUGCAUGAUGCUUCUGACCACUGGAUGGCCGCAGCUAAGAUGGCCAAAUACCUCAAGAAGCAGAUGCUCUGUGAAGUGUUGUUCUUCAUCUUCAUCCUGAUCUGGGUGUUCUGUCGUCUGUACCUCUACCCCUACAGGUGAGCCACUAUAACUUACUUCAUCCUGAUCUUGGUGUUCUGUCGUCUGUACCUCUACCCCUUCAGGUGAGCCACUAUUACUAACUUCAUCCUGAUCUGGGUGUUCUGUCGUCUGUACCUCUACCCCUUCAGGUGAGCCACUAUAACUUACUUCAUCCUGAUCUGGGUGUUCUGUCGUCUGUACCUCUACCCCUUCAGGUGAGCCACUAUUACUAACUUCAUCCUGAUCUGGGUGUUCUGUCGUUUGUACCUCUACCCCUUCAGGUGAGCCACUAUAACUUACUUCAUCCUGAUCUGGGUGUUCUGUCGUCUGUACCUCUACCCCUUCAGGUGAGCCACUAUAACUUACUUCAUCCUGAUCUGGGUGUUGUGUCGUCUGUACCUCUACCCCUUCAGGUGAGCCACUAUUACUUACUUCAUCCUGAUCUGGGUGUUCUGUCGUCUGUACCUCUACCCCUUCAGGUGAGCCACUAUAACUAACUUCAUCCUGAUCUGGGUGUUCUGUCGUCUGUACCUCUACCCCUUCAGGAUAUUAAAGACGACCUACUUUGAAGUACAUGACUAUGUUUCGGUGGGGACAUGCUUUUGGCUGUUCAACUUUCUGCUGGCUGUCCUGCAAGUUCUACACAUUCUGUGGACAUACUUCAUACUGCGAGUGAUA
This 1730-nucleotide unclassified non-coding RNA is filed under the name Haliotis rufescens (red abalone). RNAcentral describes it as "ceramide synthase 2-like, transcript variant X3". The record is from RNAcentral. Lineage: Eukaryota; Metazoa; Mollusca; Gastropoda; Lepetellida; Haliotidae.